This 305-nucleotide ribosomal RNA is filed under the name uncultured bacterium. RNAcentral's name for it is "partial 16S ribosomal RNA". It matches the Rfam family "Bacterial small subunit ribosomal RNA", at positions 505 to 809 of the family's 1533-position model. The record is from RNAcentral.
ACAGCAGCAGCCGCGGUAAUACGUAGGUGGCAAGCGUUGUCCGGAAUUAUUGGGCGUAAAGCGCGCGCAGGCGGAUCAGUCAGUCUGUCUUAAAAGUUCGGGGCUUAACCCCGUGAGGGGAUGGAAACUGCUGAUCUAGAGUAUCGGAGAGGAAAGUGGAAUUCCUAGUGUAGCGGUGAAAUGCGUAGAUAUUAGGAAGAACACCAAUGGCGAAGGCGACUUUCUGGACGAAAACUGACGCUGAGGCGCGAAAGCCAGGGGAGCGAACGGGAUUAGAUACCCCGGUAGUCCCUGUCUCUUAUACA